Cyprinus carpio carpio is the source of this 419-nucleotide long non-coding RNA. The record is from Ensembl. Lineage: Eukaryota; Metazoa; Chordata; Actinopteri; Cypriniformes; Cyprinidae.
UGGUUGCUAGGUUACUUGGGGUGGUUGCUAAGGUGUUGCUAAGCGGUUGCUAGGAUGUUCUGGGUGGUUGCUAGGCGGUUGCUAGGCAGUUGCUAAGGUACUUGGGGUGGUUGCUAAGCGGUUGCUAGGGUGUUCUGGGUGGUUGCUAGGCGGUUGCUAGGGUGUUCUGGGUGGUUGCUAGGCGGUUGCUAUGGUAACCGGGGUAGUUGCUAUGCUGUUACUAGGUGGUUGGUAGUUGUCACAGAUGGUCACUAUGAAGUUUAUAUAGAGUUCAUAGCAUGUUGUUAGCCAAUUUGAGCACUUAGCUAAUCACUAUUAGCAUGUAGCUAUUCACUGCUAGCAUGACUAGCAAGUUGGAAUUCCAGUUUGCUAGCAUGAGUCAAAAAAGCCAACCGCCAUGUCUGUACGAUGUUCUGAUG